Molecule: long non-coding RNA, 280 nt
Filed under: Ananas comosus (pineapple)
Lineage: Eukaryota; Viridiplantae; Streptophyta; Magnoliopsida; Poales; Bromeliaceae
Description: long non-coding RNA (ACOM_LNC015214)
Source: RNAcentral
UGGGCUGUAAUUUGAAUUGUAAAGCAUUCUGAAUGAGUUAAUAAAUUAUACAUAUUGGACUUGGAAUCUUGACUUAGGAGAAAACCAGCGUUUUAACCCGUUAUAUGAUUCUACUACCUGAUUUAGCUCUAGGAGCCGUGGUUUGAUUGUAUCAUUGCUGUUUCAUCGCGGUGGAUACCUGGGGUAGUUUAGAAUGCAUUUACGCUCGUGCUGGGAUGCCGAGCUUAUUUUUACAGCAGAGUCUAGGUUGUUUCAGAUUAUCCGGUGCCGUCGGGGUGGA